GUGAAUCAUCGAAUCUUUGAACGCAAAUUGCGCUUCCUAGCAUCCCGGGAAGUAUGCCUGUUUGAGGGUCAGUAUUAUCAAAAAAAUCGGUUUGGUUGCUAAUUGUGGCGUUUCCGGAGUGUGUUCUAUCGUAUCUUUUUUGGUUAAGGGGCUUAAAAUUGACCUUAUUUGCUCAUUUUGAGGCGUACAUAAAUUUUUUUUUUAUUCUUCUAUUCUUAAUGCCAAGAUCUCAUACGAUGCG
RNAcentral lists this unclassified non-coding RNA (241 nucleotides) under Glomeraceae sp. Its description in RNAcentral is "partial contains 5.8S ribosomal RNA and internal transcribed spacer 2". The stretch from base 1 to 71 matches the Rfam family "5.8S ribosomal RNA", at positions 84 to 154 of the family's 154-position model. The record is from RNAcentral. Lineage: Eukaryota; Fungi; Glomeromycota; Glomeromycetes; Glomerales; Glomeraceae.